UACGUAGGGACCGAGCGUUGUCCGGAUUCAUUGGGCGUAAAGAGCUCGUAGGCGGCUGCUCAAGUCGAAUGUGAAAACUCGAGGCUCAACCUCGAGCCUGCAUUCGAUACUGGGCGGCUAGAGUCUGGUAGGGGGAUCUGGAAUUCCCGGUGUAGUGGUGAAAUGCGUAGAUAUCGGGAGGAACACCAGUGGCGCAAGCGGCGAACUGGCCGAGACCUGACGCUGAGACGCGACGGCGUGGGGAGCAAACCGG
This 253-nucleotide ribosomal RNA is filed under the name uncultured bacterium. RNAcentral's name for it is "partial 16S ribosomal RNA". It matches the Rfam family "Bacterial small subunit ribosomal RNA", at positions 524 to 776 of the family's 1533-position model. The record is from RNAcentral.